GACGAACGCUGGCGGCGUGCUUAACACAUGCAAGUCGAACGCUGAAGCUCAGCUUUUGUUGGGUGGAUGAGUGGCGAACGGGUGAGUAACACGUGAGUAACCUGCCCCCUUCUUUGGGAUAACGCCCGGAAACGGGUGCUAAUACUGGAUAUUCACUGGUCUUCGCAUGGGGGUUGGUGGAAAGGGUUUUUCUGGUGGGGGAUGGGCUCGCGGCCUAUCAGCUUGUUGGUGGGGUGAUGGCCUACCAAGGCUUUGACGGGUAGCCGGCCUGAGAGUGUGACCGGUCACAUUGGGACUGAGAUACGGCCCAGACUCCUACGGGAGGCAGCAGUGGGGAAUAUUGCACAAUGGGCGCAAGCCUGAUGCAGCGACGCCGCGUGAGGGAUGGAGGCCUUCGGGUUGUGAACCUCUUUCGCUCAUGGUCAAGCCGCAACAAUGGUUGUGGUGAGGGUAGUGGGUAAAGAAGCGCCGGCUAACUACGUG
Molecule: ribosomal RNA, 483 nt
Filed under: uncultured bacterium
Lineage: Bacteria
Description: partial 16S ribosomal RNA
Rfam family: Bacterial small subunit ribosomal RNA
Source: RNAcentral